Molecule: long non-coding RNA, 2375 nt
Organism: Seriola aureovittata
Lineage: Eukaryota; Metazoa; Chordata; Actinopteri; Carangiformes; Carangidae
Exons: 4
Source: RefSeq, a predicted model, not a curated record
AGUGCAAUCGCCCAGUUAAAGCUAAAAAUAGACAUUGAUUUGAACAAUACUGAAGUGGAAGCGACAUCUCUCCUUAUGUUUGGUCUCAGGAAAGCUUUCUGUUUCAUCAAGGAUCUGUUGCCUGUUUGCAUUCAUCAUGUAAUUUACUGCCCACUGGUGAUGGCAGCGGGGUAUUGUCCCUGAAAGCUAGCUUGACUUCCAGCCGCUGUGCUUAUCGUUGUUGUCAUUUUCGUGCUGGAAGAGGAAAGCGGCUUAAUUCGCGCAUGCGCGUUGAGGAUGCGCGUAUCUUGCACAUGCGCAGACUUAUGUGGAAACCAGACCUGAUUAUUAAGCGCGAAGAGGCAGCAGCAAGCGAAUUACAUUAGUUUAUCAGCUCUAUGCAAGGUUUGCUGUAAAUUUGAGACAGAAUAUUGUUACAGGAGUAGUGAAGCUCCUUUCAGGAAUAGCUCAGUACGUAGGUUGUCCGAGAGAGAGAGAGGGAGGGGUGAGGCUGGCGACCAGAGUAGAGAGUUAGCUAGCUAGUUAUAAGUUAGCAGUGUGGCUGUGAGCGUAGCAGUGAAAUAUAUGUGCACUAUAGAUUUCACUCUAGAAAGAAAUGCUAUGACUACUUGAGAGCGAAGUUCCCCUUUGCUUCCCAACUACAGUCCAGACAAUUAGCCGGAAGGAUUAACAACACUGAGGCUGGAAAAUACAGGAUUCAACAUUGUUACUGGAGUGCGUCAUUGUCAUGUAAUGACAGGAAGGGGAAAGGUGAAGAUGUCCUGACAGAGAGCAUCAAGAUGCAGGAGCAGGACGUCCAGCACAGGAAAGACAGGCAGAACAAAACCAUGAGACCGGCCUGGCCCUGAAAUGAAGAUCCGAGAAGACUGAAGAUUUGCUACUGCUACUGUCAUGAAAAGAGGGAAGAAGCGUCUGAAGAAGAGAGCAAGGUCGAUAGCAAAGCACUUUACCAGCACAGCAGCGAACGCACAGACGAACAACACACACACUGGUGCAACGAUCAGUGGAGUUACUGAUUCUGGAAAACAAACACAAAAUUGAAUUUCCUGUAUGCCAAAACCACAUCUACUUUAAAGAAGAGGAAGGCUGCAGCCAAGGCCAGAGUCGCAAAGGAGGCAACGAGGCAGAGAGCAACACUGGUGUAGAAGGCACUGUGGUCAGCUGGAGACAGGAGGAGGCAGACAGAUUAAAGUCACUGGUCACAACAUAUAACAGUUUUACUGGGAAUUCUUUCAGGAAUGAUUCAACCUGUGGAAAUAAUUCCAGGCAACUAACUGCUUACCACAUUUCCGACACAAACGCGAUAACGUUAAAAAACAACAUUUAACCCUUAAAAACAUCCUUAGAGACUCUGGUCCAUAUUACACAAUGUCUUAUUCAUUCAUUUUCAUCAAUUGAUCAUUAAAAUUAAUAUCUUUAAUGGAAUGCAAGAAUGUCCUUUUUUUCUUAUUUUUUCAUAGUAUGCAGGUAGCAGGUAAUAGCAGGUCAGAUUGUUUUCCUGUUUCCUCUUAUUUUGUCACUGAGCCCAUAAAUUAAAGUGUAACAAAGUACAAUAUGUAUCAAACAUAAAAUAUAACAUGCUAAAAGUUAUCAAUAAUUUCAGAAAAUAAUAUUUUUUCCAUCAAUAAGGGAGUAGGAAAAAACUAAUAAUGUCAAAGGGGGGGUUUCAGUAUUGUUAACAAUAUGUUCUGAAAGGGUUUUUUGUGGCUAAACGUGAGGAAUGCUGAUGCUGAAACCGAUGCCUUUAAGGGUUAAACAACAAAAUAAAACAAUAUCAAAUAUAAUAGAAAUAAAUGGUUACAGAGCUAUUUUAGUAACAGGGCUUGGAACAGUAAGAUACACAAUUUGGCAAGUAUGCAGACACUCUAACAAACACCCAAACAUCAGGUUUCACAAACAUCACAUCACAAGUGAUUGCUACAUCUCGUUCCACAAUCAUCGGCAUUAAUCUGCUGUCUUAACAGCCUUCACUUUCCGGGUUGUUGAACCCGCCUGCCAGAGGUCAGGGCUCUAGAAAAACCAUUCCUUUAUGGAUCUGGCUUUAUGUAAGGGGGCGGUGGCUCUGUCAUGUUGAAACAGGAGAGAGUCUUCCCUAAUGUGUUGCCAGAAAGGCUGUAGCAUUACAGUAAGAUUCCCUUUAACUGGAAUUAAGCAUUAAGCAUUUGGUGAUUUUGAUUUAUGGAUAUUUACAAAAUCCUUUGAGACAUUUUCUUGCCUGGCUUUUAAAAGGAUUUGAUUCAUGAUAACAUUUGUUUCACUGAUUUUAGGAGUUAGUAUUUAUAAUUUAACAUAUGUGUUUAUGACAUUAGUUCAAAACAGUUUGUAAAUGUGUUAGAUUUUGGCCAUUUCUGUUCUUCCCUGGGUUGAUAUGGAAG